RNAcentral lists this ribosomal RNA (898 nucleotides) under Apiospora paraphaeosperma. Its description in RNAcentral is "partial large subunit ribosomal RNA". It matches the Rfam family "Eukaryotic large subunit ribosomal RNA", at positions 38 to 962 of the family's 3401-position model. The record is from RNAcentral. Lineage: Eukaryota; Fungi; Ascomycota; Sordariomycetes; Amphisphaeriales; Apiosporaceae.
GCAUAUCAAUAAGCGGAGGAAAAGAAACCAACAGGGAUUCCCCUAGUAACGGCGAGUGAAGCGGGAACAGCUCAAAUUUGAAAUCUGGCCCUUGGGUCCGAGUUGUAAUUUGCAGAGGAUGCUUUUGGUGCGGUGCCUUCCGAGUUCCCUGGAACGGGACGCCUUAGAGGGUGAGAGCCCCGUACGGUUGGCCACCAAGCCUGUGUAAAGCUCCUUCGACGAGUCGAGUAGUUUGGGAAUGCUGCUCAAAAUGGGAGGUAUAUUUCUUCUAAAGCUAAAUACUGGCCAGAGACCGAUAGCGCACAAGUAGAGUGAUCGAAAGAUGAAAAGCACUUUGAAAAGAGGGUUAAAUAGCACGUGAAAUUGUUGAAAGGGAAGGAUUUAUGACCAGACUUUUUCUAGGGGGAUCAUCCGGUGUUCUCACCGGUGCACUUCCCCUAGUUGAGGCCAGCAUCGGUUUCUGUCGGGGGAUAAAAGCUUCAGGAAUGUGGCUCCCUCCGGGGAGUGUUAUAGCCUGUUGCAUAAUACCCUGACGGGGACCGAGGUUCGCGCAUUGCAAGGAUGCUGGCGUAAUGGUUAUUAAUCACCCGUCUUGAAACACGGACCAAGGAGUCGAACAUUUGUGCGAGUGUUUGGGUGUUAAACCCUCACGCGUAAUGAAAGUGAACGGAGGUGAGAGCCCUUCGGGGUGCAUCAUCGACCGAUCCUGAUGUCUUCGGAUGGAUUUGAGUAAGAGCAUAACUGUUCGGACCCGAAAGAUGGUGAACUAUGCGUGGAUAGGGUGAAGCCAGAGGAAACUCUGGUGGAGGCUCGCAGCGGUUCUGACGUGCAAAUCGAUCGUCAAAUCUGCGCAUGGGGGCGAAAGACUAAUCGAACCAUCUAGUAGCUGGUUACCGCC